AGAGUUUGAUCAUGGCUCAGGAUGAACGCUAGCUACAGGCUUAACACAUGCAAGUCGAGGGGCAGCAUGUUGGUUGCUUGCAACCAAUGAUGGCGACCGGCGCACGGGUGAGUAACGCGUAUCCAACCUACCCUUGUCCAUCGGAUAACCCGUCGAAAGGCGGCCUAACACGAUAUGCGGUUCACAGCAGGCAUCUAAGGUGAACGAAAUGUGAAGGAGAAGGAUGGGGAUGCGUCUGAUUAGCUUGUUGGCGGGGUAACGCCUCCAAGGCUACGAUCAGUAGGGGUUCUGAGAGGAAGGUCCCCCCANAUUGGAACUGAGACACGGUCCAAACUCCAACGGGAGCA
Molecule: ribosomal RNA, 347 nt
Filed under: uncultured bacterium
Lineage: Bacteria
Description: bacterial SSU rRNA
Rfam family: Bacterial small subunit ribosomal RNA
Source: RNAcentral